This 398-nucleotide ribosomal RNA is filed under the name uncultured bacterium. RNAcentral's name for it is "bacterial SSU rRNA". It matches the Rfam family "Bacterial small subunit ribosomal RNA", at positions 64 to 507 of the family's 1533-position model. The record is from RNAcentral.
GAGCGCCGUAGCAAUACGGAGCGGCAGACGGGAGAGUAACACGUGGGAACGUGCCCUUCAGUUCGGAACAACCCCAGGGAAACUUGGGCUAAUACCGGAUACGUCCGUAAGGAGAAAGAUUUAUCGCUGAAGGAUCGGCCCGCGUCUGAUUAGCUUGUUGGUGAGGUAACGGCUCACCAAGGCGACGAUCAGUAGCUGGUCUGAGAGGAUGAUCAGCCUCACUGGGACUGAGACACGGCCCAGACUCCUACGGGAGGCAGCAGUGGGGAAUAUUGGACAAUGGGCGCAAGCCUGAUCCAGCCAUGCCGCGUGGAUGAUGAAGGCCCUAGGGUUGUAAAGUCCUUUCGGCGGGGAAGAUAAUGACGGUACCCGCAGAAGAAGCCCCGGCUAACUUCGUG